CGAGUUUCCAAAACUCCCAAACCCACUGUGAACCUUACCAAAACGUUGCUUCGGCGGGACAGCCCCGGGCCCCCGCGCCCGGAACCAGGCGCCCGCCGGAGGCCCCAACAAACUCUCGUGUCUACCCCAGCGGCAUCUACGUCUGAGUGGCCCCGAAAGGGCAAGCAAAUGAAUCA
This 176-nucleotide unclassified non-coding RNA is filed under the name Hypomyces aurantius. RNAcentral's name for it is "ITS1". The record is from RNAcentral. Lineage: Eukaryota; Fungi; Ascomycota; Sordariomycetes; Hypocreales; Hypocreaceae.